Molecule: long non-coding RNA, 1382 nt
Organism: Sapajus apella (tufted capuchin)
Lineage: Eukaryota; Metazoa; Chordata; Mammalia; Primates; Cebidae
Exons: 2
Source: RefSeq, a predicted model, not a curated record
UGUAUCUAGAAAGGGCAAACAAAACACAUGCCUCCAGAGGGUUUCAAGUAAUGCCUGGCAUUUAGUAAUAAAGCCAAACAUACUAAAAAGGAUUUUUUUUUUUUUUUUUUUUGCCCGUUUCUGGAAUGUGCAACAGGAAACAUUAUAUUCAAGUUAGAAAUCUCCGGUCUGUAAUCAGCAUCAAGUUUCAGUACUAGCCUGGCCAGCUGACUAAAAUUGUGUGGGUAAGCUCUUGAGCCUUUGUUAUGUAUGAGAAAAGGAUGCUGAUAACAGUCACUUCACUGGGAAGAAUGAAUGCAAAGUGCUCAGCAAUUUAGAGAAAAUUUUCCUUAAAUUGAACAGUUAUAUUUGUCUAAAAGCCAGUGAACAACAGUUUCAACCAGUAAUUCACUGCAUAAGGAUUCUUAUUGUGACUUUUUUUUUUUUUUUUGGAAGAUAGGGUCUUGCAUGAUCAUGGUGUCUGAGAGCCCUGAACUCCUGGGCUCAAGUGACCUUCAUGCCUCAGCUUCCUGAAUAGCUGGGACUAUAGGCAGAGGCUCUGCACCAGGCCAUAAUGACGUUUUUGAAGUAUAGUACAUAAUCACAAGUCAGUGAAGACAUAUCUGCAAGGAGCUAUGACGUACCAUGGUCUGGUUACUUGACGUUUUCUAUGAAGCAUUAUUUAAUGCCAUCAUAGUGUUUGUAGAGAUUCUGUGGAUGUUUUUUAAAAAUCCAAGAUUUCAAUUGUAAUUUAAUCUUCCCAUAGAUAAUAGUUAUAAACUUGGGACAAAAUCUGAAAUAAUUUUUUUUAGAAGGCUAGGAAUGGUGGCUCAUACCUGUAAUCCCAACACUGUGCGAGGGCUGAGGUAGGAGGAUUGCUUGAGUCCAGGAGUUAAAGACCAGCUUGGGCAAAAUAGCGAGACCCCCCAUCUCUACAAAAUAAAAAUUAAAAAAAGUUGGGCAUGGUGGCACAUGCCUGUAGUCCUAGCUUCUUGGAAGGUUGAGGCAUUUCAUCCCAUGAGUUUGAGGCUGCAGUGAAUGAUGAUCGUGGCACUGCACCCUGGCCCCGGCAAGAGACUGAAACCCCAUCCCCCCCAAAAAAAAAGUAGAAGAAAGGUCAAUGAACUAGACUAUAGAUCAAAAUUAAUUAUCCAAUAUGAACAGAGGAAAAAGAGGAAAGAACUUUAGUGACCUAUGGAAAUCAAGUGCUCAAAUAGAUGUAACUGGAGUUCCAAAUGAGAAGAUAAAUCAUGGCUCAAAAUGUCCCAAUUGAGGGAAAAAUACAAACAUACAGAUUCAAGAACUCUAGAAAAUUCCAAGGUAAAAAAAAAUUAAAAACCACAUCCAGGAUCCAAGAUGGCUCAAUAGAUACAACUCCAGUGCACAACAGUCAGUGAGAGAGA